UGGGAGUCCUGAAAGGUUAAAUACCACCAGCAAGGGCAGCGAGAGAUGAAACCGCCCCUCGGACUGCCCGCGUGGCUCAUAGAAAACCAUAAUUUAUAUUUUUAAAGCGUAUUUGAGGUUUUCCUGAUCUCCCUUUUGUCACGCAGCCCCACCCUCCCUUUCCGCCCGGGGGGGGGGGCAGAGGCGCUCGCCGCGGAGCUGCCAGGACCUGCGCGCUCCCGUCGUCCCCCGCGCCAAGAUGUCGGCGGCGAUCGCCGCGCUCGCCUCCUACGGCGGUUCCGACUCGGAGCCGGACUCGGAGCCUGAGGCCGAGGCGGGCCCGGGCCGCGCCGCCGCCGCCGCCGCCGUCCUGGCCAGCCGCGACGCGGUGCUGCACCUCCGCGCGCCCCCCGCCACCCCGCCCGCCCUUCCCGUCGACUCGGCCCCGGAAGUGGCCGUGAAGGUGCAUGGAAUUCUUCAUUUUGUCGUCCUCAGCUAAUACAUAUACUAUCACAGAUGAUCAUAUUUGCCUGUGCAUGUUAUUGCACUUAUUAUAUGUGCAUUUUGUUAUCCCUUGAGGUCUAGAGGUGUGUAACUUCUUGAUUUGCAGCCUCUGGCAGACUGUCUUGUACAAACUUUGAAAGGAACGGUAAUUAAUACCUGUAAUGUUUUUUGAAUGUGAAUGAUAAGUGUUGUCUGUGCUCUUUGCUCUUCUAAGGCUGUGGCAACAGGUUUCCCCUUUGCCAUGCCGGCACAAAUGUUUAUACAGUUACUUGGUGAAUGACAUCAGGAAAUUGAUGUGGAUGAAAAAAAAAUCUUUUCAGUUAUUUUUCCUUUGGAUCAGUUCCUCAACCUGGUUCACAAUGUAUCUGCACCAAUGCACAGUUAAGUGCCCGUUGCAGCAGUGUGAACAAGAAGCUGGGGGAGUUAGUUGUGUCAAUAGUACAUCCCGUUCAAAGUUGUUCACCCAACUGUGCUCUGAAAGGGGAUGUCCACCAACACCUCUAGGACAGUCUCUGUGGCAGGCAUUCUGCUAACUGAAAUGUUUUAUUAAAAUCUUGUCUUUCAUUUUUGUUUGAAAUCAUAGAUGAGAUGCAUAUAACUAAAAAGAUCGAUGACUUCAAGCUAAGGCUUACUAAAUGUACAGUGUACUGGAGCUUCUUCUAGCAGCACAGUCUCCUUUGAGGAGAAACAGAUCGUUUCUCAGAAAAGCCUUUUUUCCGGACUUGUGCUGUUCAAGAAAGGAUUACUGGUCUCAAGCUGAUGGACAACAUGACCUCAACGCCUCCCAUGUCUAAAAAUGAGAGUGUCCCACCAAAAAGCAUGGAAACUUGUUGGUCAUUCCCUUAGGAAUUUUCCUAAUUCUUCAGAAUUAGAAUUUAGCCCUAACUGAACAAACGUAAAAGAAAUGAUGCUUAAGGAAUUCUCUCAGUGCUGCAUUGGAAAAACAGCAAGUUGAGUGAGGAGGAAAGCAGAGUUACAGUUCAUUAGUAUCACUU
This 1478-nucleotide long non-coding RNA is filed under the name Apteryx owenii (little spotted kiwi). RNAcentral describes it as "lncRNA (ENSAOWG00000000934.1)". The record is from RNAcentral. Lineage: Eukaryota; Metazoa; Chordata; Aves; Apterygiformes; Apterygidae.